This 73-nucleotide transfer RNA is filed under the name Myotis brandtii (Brandt's bat). It matches the Rfam family "tRNA". From Rfam's summary of the family: Transfer RNA (tRNA) molecules are approximately 80 nucleotides in length. Their secondary structure includes four short double-helical elements and three loops (D, anti-codon, and T loops). The record is from Rfam by way of RNAcentral. Lineage: Eukaryota; Metazoa; Chordata; Mammalia; Chiroptera; Vespertilionidae.
GCCAGGGUGGCUCAGUGGAUAGAGCAUCGGCCGGUGGAAGGAAGGGUCCCAGGUUCGAUUCCCGGUCAGGGCA